RNAcentral lists this long non-coding RNA (388 nucleotides) under Musa acuminata (dwarf banana). Its description in RNAcentral is "long non-coding RNA (MACU_LNC000871)". Lineage: Eukaryota; Viridiplantae; Streptophyta; Magnoliopsida; Zingiberales; Musaceae. The record is from RNAcentral.
UCUGCUUCAGGACUUCUUCUUCUGGGACGUAGACCCUCUCGAAGGUCUUGCCGACCUUCUUCUCCCAGAGGGAAAUGAGCUCGUUAUGAGACAAGAUGUUGGCGGAAGGUCUCAGAUAUAGAACCUUGUUCAGGGUUCUCGGAUCAUCCACUGCUUUAAUUGUGUAUGUCCCGAUGUCGUCUUCAUUGAGAAAGAUCGCUGUUGUAGGAGGAAAAAAAACGCCAUUAAAUAAGAGAUGGCCAUAUAUUUUACAUCUUGCAAAAGAAGACGAAGAGGAAUUCACGCCAUACCUUUUGUGUUCCCGUCACCUAAGAUGACAACCUUGUCCGUGGGAGGACCAGUGGCUCCUGCCUGUCCCAAUACCGGGAGGAAAUACCCACCGAAGAAG